CUCCUACGGGAGGCAGCAGUGGGGAAUCUUGCGCAAUGGGGGGAACCCUGACGCAGCGACGCCGCGUGCGGGACGGAGGCCUUCGGGUCGUAAACCGCUUUCAGCAGGGAAGAGUCAAGACUGUACCUGCAGAAGAAGCCCCGGCUAACUACGUGCCAGCAGCCGCGGUAAUACGUAGGGGGCGAGCGUUAUCCGGAUUCAUUGGGCGUAAAGCGCGCGUAGGCGGCCCGGCAGGCCGGGGGUCGAAGCGGGGGGCUCAACCCCCCGAAGCCCCCGGAACCUCCGCGGCUUGGGUCCGGUAGGGGAGGGUGGAACACCCGGUGUAGCGGUGGAAUGCGCAGAUAUCGGGUGGAACACCGGUGGCGAAGGCGGCCCUCUGGGCCGAGACCGACGCUGAGGCGCGAAAGCUGGGGGAGCGAACAGGAUUAGAUACCCUGGUAGUCCCAGCCGUAAACGAUGGACGCUAGGUGUGGGGGGACGAUCCCCCCGUGCCGCAGC
Molecule: ribosomal RNA, 498 nt
Filed under: uncultured bacterium
Lineage: Bacteria
Description: partial 16S ribosomal RNA
Rfam family: Bacterial small subunit ribosomal RNA
Source: RNAcentral